RNAcentral lists this ribosomal RNA (253 nucleotides) under uncultured bacterium. Its description in RNAcentral is "partial 16S ribosomal RNA". It matches the Rfam family "Bacterial small subunit ribosomal RNA", at positions 524 to 776 of the family's 1533-position model. The record is from RNAcentral.
CACGUAGGAGGCGAGCGUUGUCCGGAAUCAUUGGGCGUAAAGAGCGCGCAGGCGGCUUGGCAAGUCGGGUGUGAAAUCCCGGGGCUCAACCCCGGGACUGCAUUCGAUACUGUCAGGCUAGAGGUAGGUAGGGGAGAUCGGAAUUCCUGGUGUAGCGGUGAAAUGCGCAGAUAUCAGGAAGAACACCCGUGGCUAAGGCGGUUCUCUAGUACGGUACUGACGCUGAGACGCGAAAGCGUGGGGAGCGAACAGG